UCCUGCCUUCCAUCGACUUCCACUGGCAGCUCCGGUUCUGGGCUGCCUGGGAGGUGCGGGGAGAGCGGUGACCAAGGACAGAGACUCUCAGAUCCCUGCAGAAGGAUCAAGUGGACCAAAUGACCCUUAAGAAGCUUUCCAGUCUCCACCUCUUCUGUCCUUGCACUCCUGAGCCCCUCCGAGAGAGGAGGAUGCCAGGGUCUAGGACGAUAAAGAGACCCACAGGUCAUCUAGCUGCUCAGCGACACCCUGGGGACCAGAUCUGACCACUUCACCAGGGUCUCCUGCAUGUAACAGGCAGAUGAUUGCUAAAGCUGAAGAUCCAAUACUUUGGCCA
This is a long non-coding RNA of Odocoileus virginianus texanus, 337 nucleotides long. RefSeq lists it as uncharacterized. The record is from RefSeq and is a predicted model, not a curated record. NCBI's taxonomy places the organism in Eukaryota, Metazoa, Chordata, Mammalia, Artiodactyla, Cervidae.